RNAcentral lists this unclassified non-coding RNA (200 nucleotides) under Hevea brasiliensis (rubber tree). Lineage: Eukaryota; Viridiplantae; Streptophyta; Magnoliopsida; Malpighiales; Euphorbiaceae. The record is from RNAcentral.
GAGCAUCCGCGAGGCGUCGGCGGUGGUUUGCGACCUGAUGCGGCGUCGCCGCUAGCCAGAGCGUGAUGACUUUUCUUCGAAUCGUCAUCGCGCUCCAGCUCUUUGUUUGAGCAUGAUCUUUUCGGAAAANNNNNNNNNNUGUCCACUUUUCCGGAUCAUCUCGUUCUCGCAAGCCCGGCGAGUUUUUUUUGCGCAGCAUC